UUUCUGCUUCCCCAAACGGUACACAUAUCCUAUCAAUGCCUCUGCUCGCUCGGAAAAACCUUUUUCUCUCUUUCUUUUCCCGACUCUGUGUCGCGAAAUAUAUCGCAGAUUACCUAAUCAUUCUCGCCGCUUUUUAAAUAGCCGUAUAUAGACCAAGUCCUCCUGAAAAGUAGUCGUUAUGUUUGAGGAUAUUUACAGAAAUUUUCAUCUUUCAAUUACACUCAAGGCAACAGAAUUUCCGAUUUCUUUAUUUUUUCCGAUCAGAUUCAUGUUUUUUGGGAAGGGGGAGAUUAGUUGGCCUAUCAAAGCUAUAAUCAACUGUAUUGGGGAAAAAAGGCCUCUUCAGCUGAGACCAUCUCUUUCUAAAGCCGUGUGUUUUCCACUCAACAGUGCAGUCUGUAUUUUGAAGAUAUCCAGUUUGACUUUCUUUUCUCUCUCUAUCACUCUUUUUUUUAAAAAAAAAUUCCUACAAGCGACCACUAAAUGCAUUCAGUGACCUGCAGGUUUAGCCUGGACCACGCUUAAAGUUCCCGGCUGUAACUUUGGAAUGAUAGUGUCUGCUUAAGGUCAGUCAAAUAAGGCAAUGUUUUGUUGUCAUUCUGGUCAACGUUUCUCGGGGAAAAGUCUUUUCUUGAAAGUCAAGAUACGGUAGCCAAGUAGUUCGAGGCAGAAGACGCAGGCUGUCUCCGUCUUCCCUAAAAUGCAUGUCUGCUCUGUGCAGCGCUGCUCAGACUCUCAGGCUGUCCGUGUACAAGGUCCUGCUGAUCCGCUCCUGUCACGAAGGAGACCCUGGGCUCCGUUUUUCCCUCAACAAACCACAUUCUCAUUGCACACACCGCGCUCGCAAACACAAACCCGCUCAUGCACGCACGCACACACACAACACACGUCGAUCGAUUUGCAUGUGACUCCGUCAGUGAAUGAGCGAGAAUCGACUUAAAAACAACGCUUGAAAGAGGCAAACCGCUAUGAAAAAUAAAAAAGAAAAGAUGGACAAAGUGGGGUAAAGGGGGGAAAGUGUAGCUAGAGGAACUAAGGCAGGGCGGAGGGAUUGCCCAUUUCAGACAGAGACGUGUCGGAGAAGAACAAAAAUGUCUUUAUCCAGAAGAGGAUUUUAUAAGCACACGACGUUGGUGAAACCCCGUGGAUGUGGCAAGUGUCAAAUCUGUCAAAAUUUAGAAAGCGAGAGAUGUUCCCAUCUGCCGGACACACACGGACCCCACUAGCUGGACUUGGAGCUCCUUUUCUGGGCAGCGCUCAUGUGGAGCUGCCGCUGCCCUUCGUCCGCCGCUCAGCACAGCCCUCUCUCAUUGCAUUUGUGCCUCAAAACACGUUUCUCGACAACCACAAACCCUCUACACCUUUCCCCGAUCCCACCGAAAAGCACACAUUUGUUUUAAAACCGUGCUUUUUUUUUAUCCCCCCCCUCUCUCCACGAUCAACUGCUUGGAGUGGAUCGCUGUCUUGCCUAUUUCUUAUCUUCCAUUCAUGAGGAGGAGAGGACGGACGCUGAUGUAAACACAGACUUGUGAGGACUCUGAUGCUGAGCGACACUUCUGGAUCCUUCAUCUUCAGCAGAACCAGACUCUCCGCUGGUCGGGAUGAAGAGCUAUAGGCUUCAACAGGCAGCAGACUACUGGCCAACAUCUCCAGGCUUCUUUGAUGUGGGAGGCAUUGCUUACCCCUAUAACUUACAGCCCAGCUCUGCAGGGACUUAUUUUUAUAACCUCCAUUAUUUUCUAUCAUAAAUAUUCAAAUCCAGAUCUUAAAUCCAGAGCUUAGUGAGGAGAAUAGCCAAAAACAACAUGCAGCUCUUCAGCUUCCCCUAGCUCUCGCUCUUCUAUAGAAAAUCAUUAUGAAGAUUAAUACAGAAAUCAAACAGAAUGCUGAGACGAGACUGCAGGACGCAGUAAAAUAAUGCACUCGAGAUGGAAUUUUUGGUCAAGGAUCUCUGGCUUUUUUGUUCUUUGUUUGUUUGAGUAUUUUGACACAUUCUGCAUUUCCUCCUUUUGGCUGUGAAUUAAUAUUUGCAGCUUGAAUAUUAAUCCUGAUUCAGUAGUGGAUUAGUUUGCCAUUGUCCCCUCUGUGCUGAGCCCUAAAUAAAGGCGCUGACAUGGAGAGGAAAUCUAUACCUCUCUGCCCUGCAAACAAAGACCUCUGCACCCAGAGAUAACACAUGUCCCUGCAAUGCAGACCCCCCCGCCUCCAACUACAACUCUACCCAUGUGCUGGAUCCUACCAUCUCCCUUUCACUUUUCUUUCUCCUUCAACCCUCAAUUCCACAUUUUCCACAUUUCCCUUCCUCUCACCACUCUCUUCCUCCCCGUCUCUUUCUCUCUCCCCCAGAAAAACUUUGCCAUGGUAGAUUUGCAAGGCAAUUGUGCCCUUAAACCGCGCCUCUUCCUCAGCUUAUACCAUGCAUUUUCCAGAGUUUAUCAAAGAAUACAAUGGGGUUAUGCUUUCACCAUUAUUCUCCAGGCAAGAACAGUAAUUUAAAUGCACCAGUACUACUGAAGCAGGGCGCAGCCCUGCUGUCUCACUAUGGAACAGAGAGAGAUGAAAAUGCGUUACAAAAAACGCACAGCAUUACUUUGUUGACCUUUCCUGUUCUCAUAGUUUACAAACAGCUGUGAAGCUCCUUCCUCUGGGCUCUUUGUACAUCAGAGACUGGGACUGAUGGAGGCACGCCAUGCUUAAAUGAAGGGCUUUUUCUAACUUGCCUCCGUUGUGGCUCACAAACACAAUUUAACAAAUACACAUUUACUUUAUUUCUGCCACCAAAGCAGUUGCCAAAGCGAAGGAGGAAAUACAUGCUGAAACAGAUACUGCGUCCUUUCAUGUAUGUAUACUGUGCAUAUCAUAGCAGACAGUCUAUUUAAAAACAAAAGGAAAAAAAUCUAAACAUACAUAGAUCUCAAAACACCCACCCACACAUAUUACGAUUUAUUUUCCCAUCCGUUGCAGUCGCAUCAGUGGGCAAUUUUUAAACAGCGUUCCAUUUUUACGGCGAACACAGCUAAAGCUGUACUGUUAUUUUUUGAUGCCACUAAAUGUGCGCGCCACAGUUCAUCUCAGACUUUCAAAUGAGCUCCAACACACUGUCCUCAAUGACACUAAUCAGCACGUAACUGCCAGUUCAUAGGAUGAGAUGUAUUGUGCACAGACACACGUGUGUUUUAUCAUGCUAUCGUGAAAGCAAACGGGAGCGUCGAGUACCGUGUUUCGAACGGUGGUUCUACACAUGUGCCCUGAGGCUGAAUGCCAGGUGAAUAUUAACAGCGAGCUGCGUGAGGGGAAGAAGAUGCAUAGGACGCAGGAUCACAAGGAGACAAAGUUAGAGAUGAAAAAAAAAAAGGAAGAAGGAAGAAAAACAACAGAAGGAUUGAGGUGGAUGAGAAGUGAGGGGAACAUAAAGGGAGCAAUAAUAAAGGAAAGUGGGACUGAAAACAGUAAAAUAUAACAAGAGGAGAAAAACGUGGACGACUGCAACAGACAGCUGGACAUGGACCGGGCCGGUCUGCAGACCUGGUCAGACUGAUGAGAACAGGCAGCAAUAGUGAUGCCAUUAUGUCGUUAAUCAAUCCACUGGUGUCUGCUUGUCUGGGUGGGCAGAUACUCACAGUCUAGAAGGGGUUAAUGGGAAAUCAAUGAGAGGGAUGUGCUUAUGAGCAGGACAAGGGGAAAGAGGGACAGGGGGGAGAGGCAGAAGGGCGGGGAGGGGGAGAUAGGAACAUUGUUUCCUGUGAUAGCAGCAGUCUUCCCAGAUGUUAUCUGUCAUUCAAAGAAACACUCUGGUGACCAGAUGUUUAGGCUCAUCGUGGUGGAGUGGGUACACAUCCUAGUGGGGGAUCAAUAUAGGUCAAGUACAUGGUAAUAUUUAUCACUACGCUGCACACACACACACACACACACACACAAGGCGCUGAUGUCUCUACAACAGAGAGACUUGUGCUGUGAAGAAAACUAUGCACUUGGAAUAAAAUAAAAUAAAAUAAAAUAAAAUAAAAAAGCACAGCCUUCUGAUAUGUUUGUUUCAAGAGCCUA
Molecule: long non-coding RNA, 4044 nt
Organism: Oreochromis niloticus (Nile tilapia)
Lineage: Eukaryota; Metazoa; Chordata; Actinopteri; Cichliformes; Cichlidae
Exons: 2
Source: RefSeq, a predicted model, not a curated record